UUGUCUCCCCUCCCACACUACGAUGAGCCACUAUUGAAAAUAUUCGGUAAUUUUAAAAGAAUACUAAUUUUAAACAUAAUGAAAUAUUCAGUAUAAUGUUACUUAAAAUGUAACUGUUAAGCUCUGAACUUGACCUGUUUAUAUUCAAGUAUAUGGAUUCACAGAAUUAAUUAUUUAGCUAAACGAGUUAAAGCAGUCAACGACUAUGGAUGACUCUUGGGUUACCAUGUGAAGGAAAAAUAAGGAUUCCACGAUAAUGGCCGAGCUGGAAAGGUUUCGAUGCUGAUAGUGACUGCUUGAAAAAGGAAUAAUCUUGCAACUUAUCGGAAAAGGGAAAGAUAAACUAAAUUUCAACGAUAUAUCAUGUAGAAAAGCUGUUCCAAUUAAAUGAUUUUCCGAAUCGGAAAGGACUAAUUUGAUAUAAGCUGUUUGCGCUUAGUAAAUCCCUGAUGAUGUGCGUCACGAAUAUGUCGUGUAGAUGGCAUGAGAUGCUCCAGAAUUCACAAACUAUCAAUCGUAAAGAAAAGCUUCGGCUCAUUGUUAUUGGCAAGUGUCUCUUUCAACUUACAGAAGAGGCACUCUAGUGGAUGAAAGCAACGUCUAUCUUUUCUCUGCUUGAAUAGCAUUGGACAUUAAGAGAUUUCACCUCCAUGACGCGAAGAAUAAAUGCCAUUACCAGGGAAAGAAGAAUAAACCAAGUAACGGCUCUUAAGAGACGUGGCCUGAAAAAAAGAAUGGAUAUGUUACGAAUAUACGUUUGUAUUCAUUAUUGAAACUCCUGUUUUUUAUGCAAUGAUUUUUUUCAGUAAGUAAGUGUAUUAUAGCAGUACAUCAAAUUUAUUUAUCAAAAAAUACGCUCUAUGUAUGAAUGGAGGAAAACGCGCGUUUCAUUUGAAAAUAAUAAGAUUUACUUAUAAUUUAUUAGUGUAUAAUUUUAUAGUUAAUUCACAAAUUGCUUGGGCAUUAUUCAAAAGAGGUUUCGCGUCCUUCUGAAGAAAUAGAACCAGGGUCAUCUGAGAUAAUGCUGACCAGUGCUACCUUGAAUAACUGAAUAUUCGGAUAAAAUGAAAGAUUACUGUACGUUUUA
This is a long non-coding RNA of Stegodyphus dumicola, 1087 nucleotides long. RefSeq lists it as uncharacterized. NCBI's taxonomy places the organism in Eukaryota, Metazoa, Arthropoda, Arachnida, Araneae, Eresidae. The record is from RefSeq and is a predicted model, not a curated record.